RNAcentral lists this ribosomal RNA (253 nucleotides) under uncultured bacterium. RNAcentral describes it as "partial 16S ribosomal RNA". It matches the Rfam family "Bacterial small subunit ribosomal RNA", at positions 524 to 776 of the family's 1533-position model. The record is from RNAcentral.
UACGUAGGGGGCAAGCGUUGUCCGGAAUUAUUGGGCGUAAAGAGCGUGUAGGCGGCUAGAUAGGUCCGUUGUGAAAACUCGAGGCUCAACCUCGAGACGUCGAUGGAAACCAUCUGGCUAGAGUCCGGAAGAGGAGAGUGGAAUUCCUGGUGUAGCGGUGAAAUGCGCAGUUAUCAGGAAGAACACCCGUGGCGAAGGCGGCUCUCUGGUACGUGACUGACGCUGAGACGCGAAAGCGUGGGGAGCAAACAGG